Molecule: non-coding RNA, 90 nt
Filed under: Paracoccus sp. (in: a-proteobacteria)
Lineage: Bacteria; Pseudomonadati; Pseudomonadota; Alphaproteobacteria; Rhodobacterales; Paracoccaceae
Also listed under: 1 other name
Description: Paracoccus sp. Glycine sequence
Rfam family: Glycine riboswitch aptamer
About the family: This family represents the bacterial glycine riboswitch.
Source: RNAcentral
AGUAGGAAAUCGGGAGACGCUGGCGCACCGCCAGGGCCGAAGGAGCAACCGCCCCGGGAAUCUCUCAGGCAAAGGGACCGUUUUCCUAUG